Molecule: ribosomal RNA, 525 nt
Filed under: uncultured bacterium
Lineage: Bacteria
Description: bacterial SSU rRNA
Rfam family: Bacterial small subunit ribosomal RNA
Source: RNAcentral
AGUAGGGAAUCUUGCGCAAUGGGCGAAAGCCUGACGCAGCCAUGCCGCGUGAAUGAUGAAGGUCUUAGGAUUGUAAAAUUCUUUCACCGGGGACGAUAAUGACGGUACCCGGAGAAGAAGCUCCGGCUAACUUCGUGCCAGCAGCCGCGGUAAUACGAAGGGGGCUAGCGUUGCUCGGAAUUACUGGGCGUAAAGGGCGCGUAGGCGGACAGUUUAGUCAGAGGUGAAAGCCCAGGGCUCAACCUUGGAAUAGCCUUUGAUACUGACUGUCUUGAGUACGGGAGAGGUGUGUGGAACUCCGAGUGUAGAGGUGAAAUUCGUAGAUAUUCGGAAGAACACCAGUGGCGAAGGCGACACACUGGCCCGUUACUGACGCUGAGGCGCGAAAGCGUGGGGAGCAAACAGGAUUAGAUACCCUGGUAGUCCACGCUGUAAACGAUGAGUGCUAGUUGUCGGCAUGCAUGCAUGUCGGUGACGCAGCUAACGCAUUAAGCACUCCGCCUGGGGAGUACGGUCGCAAGAUUA